RNAcentral lists this RNase P RNA (333 nucleotides) under candidate division WOR-1 bacterium RIFOXYA12_FULL_43_27. RNAcentral's name for it is "RNase P RNA component class A". It matches the Rfam family "Bacterial RNase P class A". Rfam says of the family: Ribonuclease P (RNase P) is a ubiquitous endoribonuclease, found in archaea, bacteria and eukarya as well as chloroplasts and mitochondria. RNAcentral also lists the same sequence under 3 other names. The record is from RNAcentral. Lineage: Bacteria; Bacillati.
GAGGCAGGCUGGAUGACUACCCCGAGCAUAGUCGAGGGGAGGAAAGUCCGGGCUCCACAGAGCGGCGUGGUUGCUAACGGCAACCGAGAGAAAUCUUAGGGAAAGUGCAACAGAAAAUACACAGCCGAAUCCGCCCUAAAGGCGAGAUGGCAAUGGUGAAAACGGGAGGUAAGAGCUCCCGACGGACUGACCGGAGACGGUCGCGUUGUAAACCCCACGCGGAGCAAGGUCAAAUAGGGAGAUGGACGGCUCGUCCGCUAGCAUCCCGAGUAGACCGCAUAGAUAGAUGGUCAUCUUAAAUGACAGAACCCGGCUUACAGGCCUGCCUCGCUU